UACGUAGGGUGCAAGCGUUGUCCGGAAUUAUUGGGCGUAAAGAGCUCGUAGGCGGUUUGUCGCGUCUGCUGUGAAAACGCGAGGCUCAACCUCGCGCCUGCAGUGGGUACGGGCAGACUAGAGUGCGGUAGGGGAGAUUGGAAUUCCUGGUGUAGCGGUGGAAUGCGCAGAUAUCAGGAGGAACACCGAUGGCGAAGGCAGAUCUCUGGACCGUUUACUGACGCUGAGGGAGCGAAAGCGUGGGGGAGCGAACAGG
Molecule: ribosomal RNA, 256 nt
Filed under: uncultured bacterium
Lineage: Bacteria
Description: partial 16S ribosomal RNA
Rfam family: Bacterial small subunit ribosomal RNA
Source: RNAcentral